AUUGAACGCUGGCGGCAUGCCUAACACAUGCAAGUCGAACGGCAGCGCGGGGGCAACCCUGGCGUCGAGUGGCCGACGGGUGAGGAAUGCAUAGGAAUCUGCCCGGUUGUGGGGGAUAAGGUAGGGAAACUUACGCUAAUACCGCAUACGCCCUUCGGGUGUACGUGGGGGACCUUCGGGCCUCACGCGAUCGUGUGAGCCUAUGACCGAUUAGCUAGUUGGCGGGGUAAGGGCCCACCAAGGCGACGAUCCGUAGCUGGUCUGAGAGGAUGAUCAGCCACACUGGGACUGAGACACGGUCCAGACUCCUACGGGAGGCAGCAGUGGGGAAUAUUGGACAAUGGGCGCAAGCCUGAUCCAGCAAUGCCGCGUGUGUGAAGAAGGCCUUCGGGUUGUAAAGCACUUUUGUUCGGAAAGAAAACCAGGUGGUUAAUACCCGGACGGUAUGACGGUACCGAAAGAAUAAGCACCGGCUAACUUCGUG
RNAcentral lists this ribosomal RNA (484 nucleotides) under uncultured bacterium. Its description in RNAcentral is "partial 16S ribosomal RNA". It matches the Rfam family "Bacterial small subunit ribosomal RNA", at positions 30 to 507 of the family's 1533-position model. The record is from RNAcentral.